GCGGGGAUGCCGGAGUGGUCAAACGGGCUAGAUUUAGGCUCUAGUGGUUUAUCCUUACCUAGGUUCGAAUCCUAGUCCUCGCA
Molecule: transfer RNA, 83 nt
Filed under: Nanobdellota archaeon
Lineage: Archaea; Nanobdellati; Nanobdellota
Description: tRNA-Leu
Rfam family: tRNA
About the family: Transfer RNA (tRNA) molecules are approximately 80 nucleotides in length. Their secondary structure includes four short double-helical elements and three loops (D, anti-codon, and T loops).
Source: RNAcentral